AGAGCGAACGCUGGCGGCAGGCCUAACACAUGCAAGUCGAGCGCCCGUAGCAAUACGGGAGCGGCAGACGGGAUAGUAACACGUGGGAACGCGCCCUUCGGUUCGGAAUAACUCAGGGAAACUUGAGCUAAUACCGGAUACGCCCUUACGGGGAAAGAUUUAUUGCCGAAGGAACGGCCCGCGUCCGAUUAGCUAGUUGGUGAGGUGAUGGCUCACCAAGGCGACGAUCGGUAGCUGGUCUGAGAGGAUGACCAGCAUCACUGGGACUGAGACACGGCCCAGACUCCUACGGGAGGCAGCAGUGGGGAAUAUUGGACAAUGGGCGCAAGCCUGAUCCAGCCAUGCCGCGUGGAUGAUGAAGGCCUUAGGGUUGUAAAGUCCUUUUAACGGGGAAGAUAAUGACGGUACCCGUAGAAUAAGCCCGGACUAACUUCGUGCCAGCAGCCGC
RNAcentral lists this ribosomal RNA (448 nucleotides) under uncultured bacterium. RNAcentral describes it as "SSU rRNA". It matches the Rfam family "Bacterial small subunit ribosomal RNA", at positions 26 to 518 of the family's 1533-position model. The record is from RNAcentral.